This 433-nucleotide unclassified non-coding RNA is filed under the name soil metagenome. RNAcentral's name for it is "partial contains 5.8S ribosomal RNA, internal transcribed spacer 2, and large subunit ribosomal RNA". The stretch from base 1 to 120 matches the Rfam family "5.8S ribosomal RNA", at positions 35 to 154 of the family's 154-position model. The record is from RNAcentral.
GAUGAAGAACGUAGCGAAAUGCGAUACGUAAUGUGAAUUGCAGAAUUCAGUGAAUCAUCGAAUCUUUGAACGCAUAUUGCGCUCUCUGGUAUUCCGGAGAGCAUGCUUGUUUGAGUAUCAGUAAACACCUCAACUUCCAUAUCUUUUUUGAAAUGGGAGUUGGACUUGAGUGAUCCCAACGCUUUUCCUCACCGAAAAGUGGCGGGUUACUUGAAAUGCAGGUGCAGCUGGACUUUUCUCUGAGCUAUAAGCAUAUCUAUUUAGUCUGCCUAAAAAACAGAUUAUUACCUUUGCUGCGGCUAACAUAAAGGAGAUUAGUUCUUGUGCUGACUGAUGCAGGAUUCACAAAGACAGGCUUCGGCCGACUUUGUAAACUCGAUCUCAAAUCAAGUAAGACUACCCGCUGAACUUAAGCAUAUCAAUAAGCGGAGGA